UUGGAGGGCAAGUCUGGUGCCAGCAGCCGCGGUAAUUCCAGCUCCAAUAGCGUAUAUUAAAGUUGUUGCAGUUAAAAAGCUCGUAGUUGAAUUUUAGGCCUGGCCGGGCGGUCCGUCUUUGGCGAGUACUGUCUUGUUGUCGGGUCUUCCUUCUGGUGAACCAGUAUGUCCUUUAUUGGGUGUGUUGGGGAGCCAGGACCAUUACCUUGAAAAAAUUAGAGUGUUUAAAGCGGGCUAUUGCUUGAAUAGAUUAGCAUGGAAUAAUAGAAUAGGACGUUGUGGUUCUAUUUUGUUGGUUUCUAGGACCACCGUAAUGAUUAAUAGGGAUAGUUGGGGGCAUUAGUAUUCAAUUGUCAGAGGUGAAAUUCUUGGAUUUAUUGAAGACUAACUAUUGCGAAAGCAUUUGCCAAGGAUGUUUUCAUUAAUCAAGAACGAAAGUUAGGGGAUCGAAGACGAUCAGAUACCGUCGUAGUCUUAACCAUAAACUAUGCCGACUAGGAAUCGGGCGUCGUUAUUUUCACGACUCGCUCGGCGCCUUAGGG
RNAcentral lists this ribosomal RNA (542 nucleotides) under uncultured Archaeosporaceae. RNAcentral describes it as "SSU rRNA". It matches the Rfam family "Eukaryotic small subunit ribosomal RNA", at positions 548 to 1093 of the family's 1831-position model. The record is from RNAcentral. Lineage: Eukaryota; Fungi; Glomeromycota; Glomeromycetes; Archaeosporales; Archaeosporaceae.